This 228-nucleotide unclassified non-coding RNA is filed under the name Glomeraceae sp. Its description in RNAcentral is "partial contains 5.8S ribosomal RNA and internal transcribed spacer 2". The stretch from base 1 to 71 matches the Rfam family "5.8S ribosomal RNA", at positions 84 to 154 of the family's 154-position model. The record is from RNAcentral. Lineage: Eukaryota; Fungi; Glomeromycota; Glomeromycetes; Glomerales; Glomeraceae.
GUGAAUCAUCAAAUUUUUGAACGCAAAUUGCACUCUCUGGUAUUCCGGAGAGUAUUUCUGUUUGAGGGUCAGAAUAAAUAAAAAUCGGUGUGGUUGCUGCUUUUCGUGGUGACGCACUGGAUUUUGGUCGUCUUGCUUUCUUUUAAGUGACCUAAAAUUUUCCUUGAUUUUUUCGAACGUAUUUAAAUGUUUUUACGAACGUUUGCGAUAUCGAAUUCUUGGUGCGGU